RNAcentral lists this unclassified non-coding RNA (391 nucleotides) under soil metagenome. RNAcentral's name for it is "partial contains 5.8S ribosomal RNA, internal transcribed spacer 2, and large subunit ribosomal RNA". The stretch from base 1 to 122 matches the Rfam family "5.8S ribosomal RNA", at positions 35 to 154 of the family's 154-position model. The record is from RNAcentral.
GAUGAAGAACGUAGCGAAAUGCGAUACUUGGUGUGAAUUGCAGAAUCCCGUGAACCAUCGAGUCUUUGAACGCAAGUUGCGCCCGAAGCCAUUAGGCCGAGGGCACGCCUGCCUGGGCGUCACACGUCGUUGCCCCCCCAUCUACUCCUUCGGGAUUGCGGGGGGCGGAUGAUGGCCUCCCGUGCGCCUCGUCGCGCGGUUGGCAUAAAUGCCAAGUCCUCGGCGACGCACGCCACGACAAUCGGUGGUUGCGAAACCUCGGUUGCCCGUCGUGUGCGGUCGUCGCGCAUCGAGGGCUCGAAAAAAUUGCCGGGCUCCGGCUCGGCUUUCAACGCGACCCCAGGACAGGCGGGGUUACCCGCUGAAUUUAAGCAUAUCAAUAAGCGGAGGA